Molecule: ribosomal RNA, 111 nt
Filed under: Pseudechinolaena polystachya
Lineage: Eukaryota; Viridiplantae; Streptophyta; Magnoliopsida; Poales; Poaceae
Description: partial 18S ribosomal RNA
Rfam family: Eukaryotic small subunit ribosomal RNA
Source: RNAcentral
GGAGGAGGUUCGCCGCCCCCGACGUCGCGAGAAGUCCAUUGAACCUUAUCAUUUAGAGGAAGGAGAAGUCGUAACAAGGUUUCCGUAGGUGAACCUGCGGAAGGAUCAUUG